AGAGUUUGAUCAUGGCUCAGGAUGAACGCUGGCGGCGUGCCUAAUACAUGCAAGUCGAGCGAACCACUUCGGUGGUGAGCGGCGAACGGGUGAGUAACACGUAGGUGAUCUGCCCAUCAGACGGGGACAACGAUUGGAAACGAUCGCUAAUACCGGAUAGGACGAAAGUUUAAAGGUGCUUCUGGCACCGCUGAUGGAUGAGCCUGCGGCGCAUUAGCUAGUUGGUAGGGUAAAGGCCUACCAAGGCGACGAUGCGUAGCCGACCUGAGAGGGUGAACGGCCACACUGGGACUGAGACACGGCCCAGACUCCUACGGGAGGCAGCAGUAGGGAAUCUUCGGCAAUGGGCGAAAGCCUGACCGAGCAACGCCGCGUGAAUGAUGAAGGCCUUCGGGUUGUAAAAUUCUGUUAUAAGGGAAGAACGACUUUAGUAGGAAAUGGCUAGAGUGUGACGGUACCUUAUGAGAAAGCCACGGCUAACUACGUG
This 487-nucleotide ribosomal RNA is filed under the name uncultured bacterium. RNAcentral's name for it is "bacterial SSU rRNA". It matches the Rfam family "Bacterial small subunit ribosomal RNA", at positions 8 to 507 of the family's 1533-position model. The record is from RNAcentral.